Molecule: ribosomal RNA, 145 nt
Filed under: Deltaproteobacteria bacterium
Lineage: Bacteria; Pseudomonadati; Myxococcota; Myxococcia
Description: partial 16S ribosomal RNA
Rfam family: Bacterial small subunit ribosomal RNA
Source: RNAcentral
UUCAAAGUGGAGAGUUUGAUCCUGGCUCAGAACGAACGCUGGCGGCGUGCUUAACACAUGCAAGUCGAGCGCGAAAGGGGGGGCAACCCCCCGAGUAGAGCGGCGCACGGGUGAGUAACGCGUGGGUAACCUGCCCCCGGGCGGG